UGUCAGCAGCCGCGGUAAUACAGAGGUCUCAAGCGUUGUUCGGAUUCAUUGGGCGUAAAGGGUGCGUAGGCGGCUAGGUAAGUCAGAUGUGAAAUUCCGGGGCUCAACCUCGGAACUGCAUUUGAUACUGCUUGGUUAGAGUACUGGAGAGGAGACUGGAAUUUACGGUGUAGCAGUGAAAUGCGUAGAUAUCGUAAGGAAGGCCAGUGGCGAAGGCGAGUCUCUGGACAGUAACUGACGCUGAGGCACGAAGGCUAGGGGAGCAAACGGGAUUAGAUACCCCGGUAGUCCUAGCAGUAAACGGUGCACGUUUGGUGUGGGAGGAAUCGACCCCUUCCGUGCCGGAGCUAACGCGUUAAACGUGCCGCCUGGGGAGUACGGUCGCAAGAUUAAAACUCAAAGAAAUUGGCGG
This 412-nucleotide ribosomal RNA is filed under the name uncultured organism. RNAcentral's name for it is "bacterial SSU rRNA". It matches the Rfam family "Bacterial small subunit ribosomal RNA", at positions 506 to 916 of the family's 1533-position model. The record is from RNAcentral.